CUUCCGAUUCUGUUUGGUUCGGCUCAAGCACUCCUGACCGUUACGCAGCCUGGAAAUGGAGGUUCUGCCUGGCACGGGCCUCAGGUUACCCUGGAAGUCACAGAACGGGGGUCUGGCUCGGGAAGGACAGGGGGCUGCCUGGGGCUCGGCCGGCACCCACCAUCCCUCCAGGCACAGAAGGCCCCCCACCUCCUCCACCAUGCCAUACCCCUCCCCAACUAAAUAAUCUUUGAGCACAGUCAUUACAGGUACAGCUAUGUUUGUAAUUACUUAAUUUGGAUGUUAAUCUUUACUCAAAACUAAUUAUCAUGCUUCAGACUUUGGCAUUCAUUCUUAGAAUUCACUUUCCUAAGCUAAAAAUGAUUAGAAUACAUGUAGGUGGAAGUCAUAUUGAAAUGUAUUAAGCAGUGGAUGAGAAGUUAGUGCUCAAGUAAACAAGUGAACAGAUAUAAUUUCUCUCUCUUGUCGAGAAAUACAGCAUAGCAGUGAAAGAAUAGCAGACUGGAGAAAAUUUAAUUUUUAAUUUUCAUUUCAUUUCAUUUUUAACAGGGAAAACCUGGACUUGUUCAUAAGCAGAACUGAAGGGGCCAUAGACAGGUGAAAGUUUCAAAAAAUAGGCAAGGGAACACCUCAUUGUUAAAUGAAGAUUUCUUGAGAAGUCAACAAAGUAUGGGGAAAAAAUGCACAGGAGGUAAGCCCACGCUUUCCCUGUGAGCAAGAGGCAGAGGGAAAAUGCUAAGUGAAAAUGGUGGAGGCAGAGGGGUUGCAGUAGCUGGGUCUGGGGAGGGGUCUUCUUAUCUUUCCUGACAUAGCAGACAAUGUGUAUGUUCAACAGAAGGCAGCAAGGCAUGGGGUUAAGGUAUUAGAGAGGCUGUAAGUAAUUAGAAAAAGCCACUUGGAGAAUGUGAUGGGAAAUUGUUCAAGCAUGACUAUUAGAACCGGGGAGCAGCCGUGAGGUCCCUGGUAAGAUUAGACAGCACAAAUUUACAGUGGACAUCCUUAACACUGACUGGAGGCAGCAGCACUCAGCAGUCCAAGAGCAACUGUAGCACAAUCUAACGCAUGAUCUUGAGAUCAGGAAGCCAGAAAUGGGAAGGACAAAGGAGUGAAGGAUUCUAACGCAUCAGGGAACACAGUGUGAAAACAGUUGGUCAUACGGUCUAGACUCUGAGCUGGGAGGAGAGUGAAGACAUCUCGUGGUUCAUGUAUCAUGGGGAAAGGAUGGGUUUGAGAGACUGGAAGUUAUGAUACUGAAGAAUUGAUGUUGAAAGUGGGAGGAAAUGGGACAAAGACUAUCUACAUAGAGCAUAUUCAUAUCCUUCAAGGAUGAAUUAAUAACCUUUUUGUGCUGCUUUUUAUUCCCACCAUCACAGAAAAAUUAAAAAAAAAAAAGAAGUUAUUUGGUGUUUGGGAUUCACAAGCAAACCAAAUCCUGAUUCACAUGCUUGCUCUCUGCUCCAGUAAACUGGAGAGGUUCUCAGGUUUACAUGGUUUACUCAUGUGUAAAUGCGGCAAAAAAUACCUCUUAAGGUGUCCUGAGGAUUAAAGGAGAUAAAAAGGUGCAGUACUUGGCAUGUUGUAGGCAAUCAAGUAUUUGUUAAUUUUAUCAUGGGAUAUUCGGGUCCUACUGGUACUACUACUAAUUUUGUUUUCCUAUAUCAUUGCUUUCACUGUACCGGGACUAAUUGUUGUUUUUAAGUUUAUUUAUUUACUUUGCGCGAGAGAGAGAGAGAGAGAGAGAGAGAGCGAGAGCUGAACUGCAA
Leopardus geoffroyi (Geoffroy's cat) is the source of this 1763-nucleotide long non-coding RNA. RefSeq lists it as uncharacterized. The transcript is spliced from 3 exons. The record is from RefSeq and is a predicted model, not a curated record. Lineage: Eukaryota; Metazoa; Chordata; Mammalia; Carnivora; Felidae.